AAAAAUAUUUUAUGUUUAUAUAUUAAAAAUGGAGUUAAACCAAGUACAAAAAUGAACACAUUUACUCGUACUAGGUGCAUCAUUUGACCAAGAUGUGUUUUCACUGCUGAGAUGAUUCUGGUCACAGGUGAUGGAGCAACUUGGAGACGCUCGCAUUGACAGGCAGGAGAACAGCCGUCAGCAGCAGAAAUUAUGGAGAGCAUUAAACGGCUUUACCCCGGCUCAGUGAGACAUAUAAGGAUUCAGAGAGGUGGCACAUUACCCGAGCUGCAGCAGUGCAACAAGUGUUACAGCAAUUCCCAGCAGUUUUCUCCUUGACCAGCAUGUUUAAGCCAGCCAAACUGGUCAAAUUAAAUGACCAAAGUCAUCUUCAAAUCCAAUUCAACAAGGCAGUUGUCUGUGGAGACCGUAGCCUUGGAUGGAACUCUUCCAAAAGUCAGAUGUGAUCUCUGGGGGAGCUAGUGACCUGAAAGCAAAGGCUCGGCAGUGGGACGAGAAAGCUGUGGUCAAACUAAAGGAAAAGAAAGAGAAACUAACAUUGGAGGAAUUGAAGAUGUCAUACGUUUAAAUAAUUUAGGUUUUUCAAUGUUCUCACUUUUUAUGAUUUGGUUAUGAUUACAGGUUGCUUUGGUUUUACUCAAUUUUUACUACACUUUAACCUUUUUAAGAUUUUAUUAAUUUUCAUGACUUUUUCCAGGUUUUGAAAUCACAUUUCCUUAUACAUGCAUGUUUUCCUAGACCGUUGGAAUCUUUUAGGGAGUGUAUUGAAGAUUUAGCGGAGAUGGAUCCAUUUGUCUUUAUUAAAAUCAACAGCAAUAAUACAAACAGCAAUAUCAGUGGCCAAGCCAAAACAGAGUAGUAGUUGAAAAACAGGCAGCAAACAAUCACAAAUAAGGUCCAGGCAAAUGAGGCAGAAACAACAGGCAGGCAGCAAAACAUCAAAAAAGGUAAACAAUCCAGGGUCAUACACAGGCAAGGCAACAGAAACAAUCAAAUGCUCAGAAAUGGGGAUUAUGGGAGAUGGAGUCAGGGGGGAUAAAGUCAAUACUCAGGUCAGGGAGCCCUCUGGUGAUGAGUGGGAAGAACCAAAGAGGCUAGACUCAUGACAAAGUGCAAAUUAAUAUAAGAAAUAUGAUGUCCGCUUAUUUUUAUUUCUUUUUAUUACUUUUAAUUAAUUUUAAACCAUCUUGCGGCCCACUUGGAAGUAAGCUGAUGCCCCUUAGGUUGAGAACCACUAACCUAAAUAUUAACCAAUAGCCACAAUAUCUACUUUUUUUUUUCUUAUGUAUUCUUGAAAUUCAGCUGGACACAUUUCUAUUAACAAAUACAUAUGUUGAUGUGCUUUGCAGAGUUUGAAGCUGCUCGGAAGAGAGCAAAGAAAGCCAAACAGGCGUUUGAGCGUAUCAAGAAGGAGCGGUUUGACUGUUUCAAUGCCUGUUUGAGUCUGUUUCCACCAACAUUGAUGAGAUCUACAAAGCACUGUCACGAAACAGCAGUUCAAAAGUUAAUAAAAACACUCUGAACUCCGAAAUCACUCUCUCUUUUCAAGAGAAAAUCCUUUUAUUCCAGAUGCAACAAAGAUCUGCAAAAAAACUUUAAAAGUAAAUUUGUAUGUUUGUUCUCUAAUUUAAAAAAAUGCAUCUCUGUUCCCUUAUAGCUACA
This is a long non-coding RNA of Cyprinus carpio (common carp), 1662 nucleotides long. RefSeq lists it as uncharacterized. NCBI's taxonomy places the organism in Eukaryota, Metazoa, Chordata, Actinopteri, Cypriniformes, Cyprinidae. The record is from RefSeq and is a predicted model, not a curated record. The transcript is spliced from 3 exons.